Long non-coding RNA from Ipomoea nil (Japanese morning glory), 209 nucleotides. RefSeq lists it as uncharacterized. Lineage: Eukaryota; Viridiplantae; Streptophyta; Magnoliopsida; Solanales; Convolvulaceae. The transcript has 3 exons. The record is from RefSeq and is a predicted model, not a curated record.
GCCCAAUGUUAAUCUAAACAGAGGCAUGAUCCUUUGAGGUAAUCAGCCUAAUCGUUGCAGAGCAUUUCCUGAGAAUGUAAAGAUCCAUGUUUUGUCCCUCAUCAUUCUGCAUCUCGAUAAGCUUUCUUAAGCCUCAACAAACAACGAGCAUUAAUAUGUCGCCGGAAAAAAAGUUGCAGGGCAGAUGGAGAGCUUCGUCUAGGGAAAGA